CCUACGGGAGGCAGCAGUAAGGAAUAUUGGUCAAUGGACGCAAGUCUGAACCAGCUAUGCCGCGUGAAGGAUUAAGGUCCUCUGGAUUGUAAACUUCUUUUAUCUGGGACGAAAAAAGGUCUUUCUAGACCCCUUGACGGUACCAGAUGAAUAAGCACCGGCUAACUCCGUGCCAGCAGCCGCGGUAAUACGGAGGGUGCAAGCGUUAUCCGGAUUCACUGGGUUUAAAGGGUGCGUAGGCGGGCAGGUAAGUCAGUGGUGAAAUCCUGGAGCUCAACUCCAGAACUGCCAUUGAUACUAUCUGUCUUGAAUAUUGUGGAGGUAUGCGGAAUAUGUCAUGUAGCGGUGAAAUGCUUAGAUAUGACAUAGAACACCCAUUGCGAAGGCAGCUUACUACGCAUAUAUUGACGCUGAGGCACGAAAGCGUGGGGAUCAAACAGGAUUAGAUACCCUGGUAGUCCACGCCCUAAACGAUGGAUACUCGACAUACGCGAUACACUGUGUGUGUCUGAGCGAAAGCAUUAAGUAUCCCACCUGGGAAGUACGUUCGCAAGAAUGAAACUCAAAUGAAUUGACGG
This 578-nucleotide ribosomal RNA is filed under the name uncultured bacterium. Its description in RNAcentral is "bacterial SSU rRNA". It matches the Rfam family "Bacterial small subunit ribosomal RNA", at positions 338 to 916 of the family's 1533-position model. The record is from RNAcentral.